Molecule: ribosomal RNA, 506 nt
Filed under: uncultured bacterium
Lineage: Bacteria
Description: partial 16S ribosomal RNA
Rfam family: Bacterial small subunit ribosomal RNA
Source: RNAcentral
AUUGAACGCUGGCGGCAGGCCUAACACAUGCAAGUCGUACGGCAGCACAGAAGAGCUUGCUCUUUGGGUGGCGAGUGGCGGACGGGUGAGUAAUGUCUGGGAAACUGCCCGAUGGAGGGGGAUAACUACUGGAAACGGUAGCUAAUACCGCAUAACGUCGCGAGACCAAAGUGGGGGACCUUCGGGCCUCACACCAUCGGAUGUGCCCAGAUGGGAUUAGCUAGUAGGUGGGGUAAUGGCUCACCUAGGCGACGAUCCCUAGCUGGUCUGAGAGGAUGACCAGCCACACUGGAACUGAGACACGGUCUAGACUCCGACGGGAGGCAGCAGUGGGGAAUAUUGCAGAAUGGGCGCAAGCCUGAUGCAGCCAUGCCGCGUGUAUGAAGAAGGCCUUCGGGUUGUAAAGUACUUUCAGCGGGGAGGAAGGCGGUGAGGUUAAUAACCUUGCCGAUUGACGUUACCCGCAGAAGAAGCACCGGCUAACUCCGUGCCAGCCGCCGCCGUAA